This 427-nucleotide ribosomal RNA is filed under the name uncultured bacterium. RNAcentral's name for it is "bacterial SSU rRNA". It matches the Rfam family "Bacterial small subunit ribosomal RNA", at positions 355 to 774 of the family's 1533-position model. The record is from RNAcentral.
UAGGGAAUGUUGGACAAUGGGGGCAACCCUGAUCCAGCCAUGCCGCGUGAGUGAAGAAGGCCCUCGGGUUGUAAAGCUCUUUUGUCCGGAAAGAAAAGCUUCGGGUUAAUACCCCGGGGUUCUGACGGUACCGGAAGAAUAAGCACCGGCUAACUUCGUGCCAGCAGCCGCGGUAAUACGAAGGGUGCAAGCGUUACUCGGAAUUACUGGGCGUAAAGCGUGCGUAGGUGGUUGUUUAAGUCUGAUGUGAAAGCCCUGGGCUCAACCUGGGAAUGGCAUUGGAAACUGGGCAGCUAGAGUGCGGUAGAGGGUAGUGGAAUUCCCGGUGUAGCAGUGAAAUGCGUAGAGAUCGGGAGGAACAUCUGUGGCGAAGGCGACUGCCUGGACCAGCACUGACACUGAGGCACGAAAGCGUGGGGAGCAAACA